This 255-nucleotide unclassified non-coding RNA is filed under the name Hevea brasiliensis (rubber tree). Lineage: Eukaryota; Viridiplantae; Streptophyta; Magnoliopsida; Malpighiales; Euphorbiaceae. The record is from RNAcentral.
GGAACAACAGGGCUUGGAGUUUCAAUUACAACACUAGAUUUUGGGUUCUCGAUCGUCUCUGUUGUAAUUUUAGAAAUCGGUUGGCUGUUUGUUGUGCUUGGAGUUGGAGCUGGAGCUGAAGCUGAAGCAACAGGAUUAGUAAUUUCAAUGGCGUUUGAAGAUGGCUCACUAAUCCAAAGUGAAGAAGGAUCAUUCUCCCCUUGGUCAACCCCACUAAUUGGCCAAUUCUCCACCUCCAAAUUGUUGAAAUUAAAC